GACGGUGUAGAUUGUGUGGAUGAACCACUCCCGACCUGCAGCCACCUGGAACAACAAGACACAGUGGAGCUUGAGUUUACAGACCAUAUUAGGUAUGAAUAGAGUCAGAGAGCCUCUCUGGGUGUGUCAGCUGACCUGGAAGAGAGGUGAGGAGGACAGGGUGAAUCCGUCUGAACCAGGCUGUCUGACCAGAGGCAGGCCUCCAGGAGUGUCCAGGGCCAGAGUGGCCUCAAA
Coregonus clupeaformis (lake whitefish) is the source of this 234-nucleotide long non-coding RNA. RefSeq lists it as uncharacterized. The transcript is spliced from 2 exons. The record is from RefSeq and is a predicted model, not a curated record. NCBI's taxonomy places the organism in Eukaryota, Metazoa, Chordata, Actinopteri, Salmoniformes, Salmonidae.